Molecule: long non-coding RNA, 679 nt
Organism: Clupea harengus (Atlantic herring)
Lineage: Eukaryota; Metazoa; Chordata; Actinopteri; Clupeiformes; Clupeidae
Source: Ensembl
GAGAUACACACCACACACUGCCCUUAGCUGAGGUACACACCAAACACCAAACACUGCCCUUAGCUGAGAUACACACCAAACACCACACACUGCCCUUAGCUGAGAUACACACCAAACACCAAACACUGCCCUUAGCUGAGAUACACACCAAACACCAAACACUGCCCUUAGCUGAGAUACACACCAAACACUGCCCUUAGCUGAGAUACACACCAAACACUGCCCUUAGCUGAGAUACACACACCACACACUGCCCUUAGCUGAGAUACACCCGCACAUAAGCACUGGCCCUUUUUACAAGACUGGGGCUGCGGUCUAUCUGCAAAAAAUUUGGUCUAGCAGAGCAAAAUGUGUAUUAACAUUAUGCCUUGGGGGAAAACCAUGUUGGGCGUUGGGUUAAAUGUGUAAGGGAAUACUGUAUACUGAAAACCAAUCAUGGUAGUGAUGUGAAUUGAAAUAGAAAGAGAAAAGGUCAAUGGUACAACUGUCAUUGUCCCACUGCAUUGUAGCCAGGCUUUAAAAAGGAAAAUAUGGUGUCUGCACUAACUGUAAUCCAGUAGGUACAUUUCAACAAGUGGUCGCCUAUCAUAUAAUCCCGUGAUGGAAUGGAGAAGUCCGUCCCCAUCUGACCUUUUAAAGAAAGGUCAACUGGAUGAGGGCCACUGAACACACACACAAG